Long non-coding RNA from Aedes albopictus (Asian tiger mosquito), 1676 nucleotides. RefSeq lists it as uncharacterized. The record is from RefSeq and is a predicted model, not a curated record. Lineage: Eukaryota; Metazoa; Arthropoda; Insecta; Diptera; Culicidae. The transcript is spliced from 3 exons.
AUCAACACAAAAACAAAGUGCCGAACGGUGAUGUUUUUUUUGCAGCUCGAUUUUUGCAAUUAGUUACCAAAAUCCGACCAAAAUCAUUCUGGGAGACAUCCGGCCGUCAUGUCGAGGCUUUCCAACACCCCACUCCCGCCAUCGUUACAACCAGCAGCAGCAGCAGGGCGUUUUCGUGUUCAACAAGCAAAACCGGUGCCGCUUCAGCCAGAAAGGUGAGGUUGAGCUCGCUUAGCGGAUUUUGCGGAUUUUCACCUUGACACGGAGGCAUCGAGGCGCAUAUGGUUCUGGAGGAAGAGAAGCAGGUCUUGUGGAAGGACGUCGCGUCGCUUCGGACGCACAGAUAUUAACGGAGGAGUGUACCGAAAUAUGCCUCGAAAUCGAGAAAGGCAUUAGGUUAACUUGAUAGGGACGGGGUUACGACGAUUAUUGGAAUCCUAUAGUAGAAAUCCUAGGAUUAAAGUUGAGGAGUUUCUAGCUGCCUCUAUUCAGCAUCUUAAGGAUGAAUUUCGACGAGGGAAGGCUGGCUUGACUGUAAGUAUGUAUAGUUAAUUGUUAAUAGGACCCUCUCCAAAAACUACGUCGACUCUUGAGAGGGAUCUGAGAUGGCCACUGAGAGUAAUUAGGACAGCGUCAUAGCCAAAUUAUUUACGUCGGCGGGAAAUAAUUCAUUUUAUUCGGAAUAUUUUCGGAAACAUAUUUUUCUUGAGUAUUGCGCUUGAGGAACUUUCUUUAGAUUAGAUUGUUUUAGACACUAUUCGUCAUCGCCAUACAACAUUUUUACAAUUUACUUUUAUCAACUUUUCGCACAUAGAAGCACAAACGAAGAUACAGACGGAGCAGUAAUCGUUUUUUUCGGUCGCACCUACUUUCGCACGCCCCUCUUGUGUUGUGUAAUUUAGCGCUUUGGUGAGCUCCUCGAACGGGCGAAAUGUACGAACUGUCAAUGCAUUGUCACUGAGCUAACUGUCAAGCGACUUGCUUGUUUAUAAACAUUAACAAUUUGCUUUUUGCUCCAAAAAUUUGCGAUUUUGUAAUUCAUUUAACAAGCCGGUCAAGGUAGAAUCCCGAAACACCGGAAAAAUAGAACCUCCGGAGAGCCUCGGAACCUUCUACGAACGGGGUGACCGACGAUGGGAACAUUUUCAAUCCGGCAUUUGUGAAGUACGUGAUGGCGCACGGACCGAACCGGCUAGGAUCGCAUCUGAUCAUGUGCGACGCAGGGUUCUUCGUGAAUAACUCCCAGGAGAUCAUCUCGAAACAGCUGUGGUGCUGCUGACGGUGGCGGUAAUCCGAGCAGGAGGAAACGCUAUUAUGAAGGUGUUUGAUCUGGCGUACAUUCUGACCGACUGCGAUCAUGACAUUUUCCACCUGGUGGCCUGACGACGAUGAAGAGGACACAUUUUUUUCAAUUUCAACAGUAAUUUCAACGAUGACUUGGCUUGCCGACAGAUCCAGCCAGGGACUAAAGGGCUUCAACGACAACGAUUGAGGAAACUGCUUUCGUCGUGAAAAUACGAAUCGACGACAGCUCACCGACGGCACCAAAGUGCUCCGAAGCGACUUGGACUUCGAUAUGGCGGAAACAUCGCGGUUCUAGUCCCCGAGGGUAUGGGAUGUGGCCGUAGGUCGGACCGAAUGCAAUAAAACAACUUGAUUGCUAGACGGUCAAAUAA